CCGGCUCUCACGACAGAUCUGAUGCCUCCCAGGCCAUUGCCACGUUGUAACAUAUACAAUUGAAUGUCGUGCAUUACCACGAAAUAAAAAUAUGAUGUCCGUUGUUGGGCAAACAACUAAUACGCCAGUGUGUCCGUUAUUAACUCCAACCAUGAGAAUCCGCAUAAUACUUAUAUUCUCCAACUAUGAGAAUCCCCAUAAUACUUAUUUACUUCAACUAUGAGUAUCCACACAUCUUUCUUUGUCCUCUCCACUUUCAUUCAUGCGUUCUGCUUUCUUCCUCUGACCAACCAGCUAACCAAGAUCUGCAAAAAGGAAUAAAAUUGUAAAGCAAUUUAGCAUAGUAACGCAGCACUUAUAUAUUAUAUAUUGGCGAAAACAUGUGAUCAUCUGCCCAGCAAAUACCUUUCAUUGAGUUAGUUAUUAUUACACGUGCAUUGUUCCAUUCACUCGGCAAUAAAUGGAUGAUCUUUUCGAUAUAAAAUGCUAUAUGUGAACUACAAAGUGAUCGAAGAUCACAUUAGAUGGAGAUAUUGCUACUAACUCAGCAGCUGGAACUACCGCGAAUACUAAUAUUAGCUUUGACACUUGUCUAUAGCUAAGUAAUGGGAUCAAAUUUGUCUUCUUUAAAAAAAACUUGUAAGAUCAGUUUCGUACUUUUUUGAAUGAAUUGGCAAUGUUCCUCAAUUAAAUUCAGCAUAAGGCCUUUAAUUAAAGUUGGUCCUCAGUUCUUGUUUUAUGCUCAUUUUAUUUGGACCAACACAAAAGCUUUGUGUGAGUUUAAUAAAUAACUCUAAGCUAACUCAAGUUUACACAUAAACUCAAAAUUACAAGGAAAAUGGAAAAAUAUAAUGCUGCCAUGUUCAAAAGGUUUCCUCUGCAAACUUAGCCGCUGCCAAUGGUUAUCCAACAACAAACUAAAAAGAUAAUAUAAUCAUUAAAUAUUACUCCCUCCGUUCCUAAAUAUAAGUCUUUUUAGACAUUUCAAAUGGACAACAUACGGAUGUAUGUAGACAUAUUUUAGAGUGUAGAUUCACUAAUUUUGCUCCGUAUGUAGUCAUUUGUUGGAAUCUCUAGAAAGACUUAUAUUUAGGAACGGAGGGAGUACUCUAGAAGGAAUCUCGUUGCAUGACAAUUUGUACCAUAAAUCAUGUUUACUACAUAAGCAACUUUAUAUAUACCAUGUCCCAAAUAAACUCUUGUAAAUACACCAGAGGUCUUAGAACUUGCACGCGGCGGUCAUUUUGGUGCACAAAGUUGUAAAAUACGUGUUUGUGGUCACUAAACUUGCGAGACUGUUCAAAUACAGUCACUCUCUCUGUAUGCAGGCGUAUCCGUCGACGCCAGCAUGGCACGGGCCCGCUGUUAAUGACACAUGGACGCAUUUUUGCACAAAACCCGUUCUUCUUCUUCUUCUUUUCUAUGCAAAAUAAAAAAUCAACCAUCGAUGGGACGAAAAGUUUAACUGCCAGCUCUCGAACCCCCGACCUAAUGCUAGUACAAUACAGGUCACACAAACUGCACCACACAUCUGUAGACAGCUAUUAAGGAUAACUAAGAUUAAUGUACAAAAACGGAAGCGCUCAUGGAACAGAAAUGGGCUGUGGUCCGGCGACCCAUUUUGCACUUGUUUAUUUUUCAGAAAUUUGUAGAUAGUAUGUAAAUUCUAAUGCCAUUAAUAAGAGAACUUUCAAAUAUUUUUCAUGUAUUAUUCUAAAAUAAUACUUAUGAAUUAUAAAAAUGCUCGCAUAAUAAUAACACCAAUUGUUUUUAAAAUAUUCAUAAUAAUAAAAUGUGCAUUUUCUUAGAAAUAUUCAUAAUUAAAAAACAAUAUGUAUCAUUACACCUAUUCGUUUUAUUUGAGAAAUUCGUGGAUCACAAAAAAUUGUUCGUGUAUUAUUUUCAAAUAAUAUUGUUUGUGCAAUUCAAAAUAUGUACAUGCAUUAAAAAAACUACAUGAAAUUUAUAAAAAUGUUUAAACACUGAACAAUAUUCAUGUAAAUUAAGAAAUGUACAUUGCAUUUAAAAAAAUGUUGGCACAUUUCAAAAAAAAAAUUGUGAAUUUUACAGAAUGUACAAUUAUGUUCGCAUGGUUCAAAAAACUGUUCGCGUAGUUUUUCUAUUGCAUGAACAUAUUUUGAAUUACACGACCACUUUUUACAAUGUUUAAACAUUUUUUAAAAUGGCACGUACUUACAGAGAACAAGAGUGAUAAGAACAUAUACAUUGUCUAUCUCUAAAUUACAUCACAUGUCGCAGUUGCUUGGCGGUUGGCUUAUGCGCGAGUGAAUCUCCAUGUCACAGGUUCGAACCCACCGGUUGCACUUUGCAUUCUUAUUAUUAGAAGACAUAAAUUUCUUCAUUAUUAUUUUUUGGGUCCACCCUGAUAGGAUGUAUAAUAUAGUCGUGCAAAGUAAACACAUGAUACUGUUGGCGUGGUGGUUGUUCAGUCGUGCCACUCAGCAGUACGUCCAAGGAUGGAACCCCGCCGCCCCACUAUUUUUCUUAUUUUAGGGGUUCCUAUGUAAAUAAAAAAAGAGCUGCGGGCUUUUCUACAAAUCUAUCAUACAAGAGCAAUUACAGUGGUUGACAGCGGGCCCGUGCCAUGCUGGCGUUGACGGAUACGCAUGCAUACGGUGAGAGUGACUGUAUUUGAACGGCCUCGCAAGUUUAGUGACCACAAACACGUAUUUUGCAACUUUGUGCACCAAAGUGACCGCCGCGCGCAAGUUUUAAGACCUCUAGUGUAUUUACCUCUAAACUCGAGAAUAAUCAAAUGGUGAGGUGAACAAGAUCUCUAGCUCGUACCAAGAAUUCAAUGUUUUAUGGGUAUGUGCAUCAUUUGAUGCACAUGCUUUUACGAAAAGACGAAGUAAUUCAUUUAUUUUGCAUGUCACACUGUUCAACUGCUAAUGUUUUAUGUUAAGUACUCCCUCCGCCCGAAAUUACUUGCCGCUCAAACGGCAUUCAUUUGAGCGACAAGUAAUUCCAAACAGAGGAAGUAAUAAUUAGUUCUCCAUCCAAUUGAAUUCAACAAAGCCUGGCAAAAAUCUUAUUUACCUUCUGAUCAGUUGAGACUUGAGAGAGCCACAGGCUCCUUACCACGGAAGAGCACGAUCCAUGAAUCUGCGCAGCAAUCCCAUCAACGAGAUUAGUUGCUUGUCUUUGGAGCAAGCCAUCUAAUCUCUAAAUGCAUUUACUGCUGAAAAGCACAACCCACUACUUCUUCAUAUCCACAUCGUUCAUCUCCCUGUAUCAUUAAUUAGCAGGCUUUCCAUCUUUGCUAAAGACAAGGUGCAGCCUCUGCUGCUGGUAGUGUAGUUCGACACCUACGCAAGAACACAGAAGCCACAUACCGUCAGAUCACAAGGCUCAGUGUGUGAAAAGAAGGUUUCAAAUACCGUGUAAUCGCAAACCAUUCUUCAUAAAACUGAAAACACACGGUACAGCUCGGUAUGGAAUAACACUUCUGCUCUUCCGGAUCGUUUUCUUCACCACCGGUGUAUGCAAGCGACCUUCCCUUUUUUGCUUGUGGCCGGGUAGGCCACCUUCCUACCCAGGGACAUGUUUUAUGGUAAAAGGAGGAGCCUUUUGCCCUUUGCAGGUGAGCGGCGUCCGUGUACUAUAGUGGCGGUGUGGGGUGGUCUAGGUGUGUAUAUAACAAGUCACAGUUGGGGGAAUUAUGAUAGUGUAAAUUACCUUGGGAGAAGAAAAUGUUUUCUCUCGACUCGCCCGCUCUUUCCACCAUCUUCCUCUUAGCAGAUUGCCUAUGCAAAUUGUCAGUAGUGGCAAAUAUUGAUUCAACGACAUAAGUUAUGACUAUUGCUACAUAUGCAAAAUAGGAGGCAAAAAAGUUACAAGAUAUGUCAAGGUAGAAACAUAGGACAUAGUAAGUAUUUUCAGAUCCGUGCAUGUAAUCCUUGAGAAGUUGAGGGAGGUAUUCCAGUAUCUCCCUAAAUAUAAUUUCUUUGAUGUCUUCUUUGGUAAACUUUCUUUGUUCAAACUCGAAAUCAUUUUUCAAGUUCAUGAGCAUGAUGCUUCUCUCUCCACUUCCACGGGAUCCUUAAAAAAGAGAUAAACCAUGAAUGUAUGACUUUGUAAAGUAAAAACAAAUGACAACGAAUUUGACUGAUCACUCUGAAUCCGACGGUGACAAUCAAAUGCGUACCAUCGCGCACCUGCUUAACCCCCAAGCCUCGAGGGCCACCCUCAUGUGUGUGUGUGCCGCUGCCCUGCUCCAAAGACUACUCUUUGCCGCUGCACCGACGUCACACACACAGCCAUGCCACAGUACAACGCUGUGCUGAGGCUACACACAUGACCAUGCCACAGUACAGCACUACCGUCUUGCUCUUUAUGCUUUUUCCCCAUGCAGUCCCAGCCUCCACCCCGCCUCCCCAUCUACAUAGCCACGACGGGGCCAUACCAGCUCACGCCGACACCCACCCAGGGGCAUCAUGUACACUCGGAUACCCUCUGAAUACUGCAGAUAUAAGGAUGAAAAACAGAAGUUCAGUUAGUGCCUUACUUCAAGAAUAUCAAGACCCUGCAUUAGAGAUCUAUAUAUCUCAGUUUUGGUUGCAAUCAUCUUGACAAUCAGAGAGACCACUCUGCCCCUCAACUAAUUAAUAGUACUGUUCUGUUUGACUCAUCAACUUGAGCAAACACAAACACUUUUAGUCAAGGUACAGGCUACAAUCGUCAGUACAUCUAGGUAGCAGUCAUAUGAAUAUAAGCUCAGAUGGAAACUUACGUGCUUCAUCCUCUUCUUUUCAAUCAUCAUCGUCAUCAAACUCGAUAUACUGCAGAGUGAGAACAUGUGAGUCAAACCUGACAAUAUUUUACCAACAAAAUUAUGCAUGUGCACCCAUUUCAUAAGAAUAUGGGUUGUAUGUCAUAAAAAUAUAUUAUCGAAAAAUUCUUUGAAAUGUGCAUCUAAUGGCAUAUAACUCAUAUUUUGUUGGUAUAAUCAAUUGUCAAAGUUAGAUAAAAAAUAUGAAGUGGUCAUUUAUUAGUAGAUGGAUGGAGUAUUUACUUCAAAACUGAGAUGGGGAAUGACCGAAAAGCUUCAUGUUUACCUUUUAUUUAACGCUUAUUUGCAGGAAUCAGUAUGGGGGAUGUGGUGAUUGUUGGAGCAUCUCUUUUUCAGUUUCCCGCGCCAAGACCUAAAGAAAAAAAUGCCGAGUGUGGGGGGCUGACCUUGCUGCUGCAGGCUAGCGUAGAUCGAGGAGGCAGUGGCUGCGGGUUUGUAGUAAGACGUCAGGAGAGGGUGAUGCCUGGGUCAUUGGAUGUCACCCCCAAGCAUCGAUCUCCCCUUCCUGCUUUUGAUUGCCUCCCGAUCUCACAAGAGCGGCUGGAAGACACACGUGCCGCUGGGCUCAUCUUCCUCGUCGCCCCAUGUAGGAGAUGAAUACAACACCCAUGGCCGGGAUACGCGGACGCGGGCACCGGCUGCCCUACACGCGGGAAGAUGGAUAGUACCAUGCCCCGACCUUGACGGCUCACCGGCGGCUCGGAUCUGGAGUGGAGGCGUCGGCGGGUGAGGAGGCCACGACCAUCGUGGCGUCGGCGGAGACCCAUGGCGUGGGCUGCACAUCAAGACAGGGCGGGGGCGCGCUGCAGUGGAGAGGUCGCGCGCGAUUGGGCGGGCGCUGGUGAGCGUGAGGCCCUGGGUCGAGGAGAUCAGGCGGCGCUCGAAGCCGCCUCCCCGCCAUGGUGGGAGGUGCCAUCUAGAUCGGGGGAAAGAGAGGCGAGGGGAUGGAUGGGAGAAGGUGCGAGGCUAGAGAUCGGAGAGAGGACGGCGGCGGCGACGGGAGGGGAUCGAGAGGAAGGGCGUUCCUCCUACGGGGUGGUUUUCUUGGGGUGCGUGCGUGGGGUGGGGUGAGGUGGGGUGGGGAGGUGACGAAAAAAAACCAGUCGAAAAAAAACCAGACGAAAGUGGGGGAACUAUUCAACCAACUCGUCCAUUAGGAGUAGAGAUAAAGCAUCUGUCGAACAAGACUGCUCGUAAAAAAUAGACUACUAAUACCAGAUCCUAACGGAUAAUGAAAAUAACAAAUAUACAAAUAUGAACAGGCUCGCGUGUAUGUAUCAAAAAAAAAAUUAUCAGACAUGAGUCAUCCAAACUUCUGAACUAUAUUAUGUGAGCUUCGAGGUCUUGACAAUAUGAACUUCAAGAAGAUACACUAGAAUUGUACAAUAUGAUUUUUUCUGAAAGAGGUGCAAAAACGAACUUGUUGUAGACGUAUUCCCACAAGAACAGAUAUAAUGCACAUGUAUGAAUAUUUGUUGCUCACAAAAAUUUGGGCAUAGGACAAAAGAUGUUGUUAGUUAUCAGAGACAUAACCACAAACAGUUGAGGGCAUCAAAUCAGCACAACUUUCACGAAACUUGUACAAAAAAUUUAUCCAAAGAAACAGGGGACUAGGGGACUAGCCGUUCACUCUAGAUGCAGCAAUCACAGGAGUGGAUGCACAGAAAUUGCAGAACCUGGAUAGGGACUAGCAGUGUAGUUGGACUGAUGCGAAGCCGGCCUAGGUGUGAGCCAGCCAUCUCCUCUCCAGGUCCGAAGCAUGGAGCCGGGCCAGCACCAUCCUCGCGUGCGAGCGACCGCCAGGACGUGGAGGAGAUGGGGGUGCAGGGCGUUGGGUUUGGGAGGAGCCACUAGUGGCGGCGUAGCAUCUUGGUGGCAGGCGGCGGCUCGGGUUCUUGGAGGGCGGCGCCGGCGUUUGUUCCACAGGGCCGACGAUGGCUUCAACACCGGCGGAGGAGGUGAUGCAGGGGCGGAGAGGGGUGGAGUUGUGUCGGAGACCCCUGGAUGGCUGGGAUUUGGGAGCUAAUGUGGUGAACAUCCAGGAGCGCCGUCGUUGAACAGCCGGAGGUGGCGAUGCCGAACGACAUGAGCGCCGCGAUGGUGGAUCCCCAUCGGGAGGAGGCUACGUGAGUGAGGGGGCGCAGGCUUGCUCGUCUUCAGUCUGGGACUCUGGCAGCGGUGGGCGGGAUCCAGAGCCAGGCGUCGGCGCCCCGGAUCCACGGCUCACGGCGGCGCUCGAGGCCUGUGGGCGGUGGAGGUUUGGGGCGGCGGCGCGGCGCGCAUCGCCGAUGGGCGGCGGUGGGGGUUAGCCGGUGGGCGGCGGCGCGAGGCCGGCGAGGAGGGGCUACGAGAUGCUGACGGGCAGGGCGGCGCGGCGCGGCAGGCAGGGGAGGGCGGUGCGGUGGUUUGGUCGAUGGGGAUCGGGGGAUGGUGAGGCGUCGUCGAGGGAGAGGAGAAGGUCGUGGGUGUGGUAGUGGGCCGUUCCGGGGUGUGCACAACGGGCCAGUUUUUUCUCUGUUUGCGAUCUCAGGAACAUCACAUCGCGCCCUAUAUAGAGACGUUGUGAUCAGAAUAACUAUUAGAAUAGUGCUACUCGACGCAACAAGAAAAAAUGAACCCACCCCGAACCCCAGUCUCCCCACCUCCCAUGACCAACCUGCUCGAUCCCCAUCCCCCGCCGCCGUGGGCCGGCGAGCAAACUCGCCCCAUACGGUGAACCCCACCGCCGCGGGCCGCCCACCCAUCGUAGUGCGCCCCUUCAACCCCCGCCACCGUGGGUCGCCCAUCUACCGCGCCUCACCUGGUCAACCCCGCCACCACGCGCUUCCCAACCAUCGCGCCGCGCGCCGCCAUCCACACCGCCGCGCGCCGCCCGCAAUCCCCGCCUCCAUGACUCCUCCUUUGUCAUCCCGUUCUGCGGCAGCAAAUUUCGGCGGCCAUCCCGUUGAACAGCUUGGAUCUAGGGCGUCGGCGAGCAACUGCAGGUGCAGGGGGGACGAGAGGGACGAAGACGUGGCAAAGGAGCUCCAGCUCGAUCUUCUCGGCUGCCGGCGGAGGAGCGGAGCCCCCCGCGCGCAGGUCUGGCCUGAUUCUUCUCGUCCGCCGUCGUGCGUUCAGAGGCCUCCCGCGCUCGAGCUCCUACAGGUGACAGGCAUCUCGUUCUUGCUGAUUGUUGUUGCCGCCACUGAGCUUCUCUGAUUCACCACUAUUCUUUGCAAUUCGCCCAUGCCUCUGUUUCUCUGGACCAUAAUAAAGAGAGAAAUUCAUCCUAGCUGAGAGACAGAGUUGAGGUUCAACGUGUAUAUUAAAUAAAAGAAGAUUGUAGUGAUUACGAGUAUGUGGCUGCCUAUAGUUCUUGUGUUUAAUGCAAACAAUCCCCUUUCCUUCCCUGUAGCAGUGGACACGAGCAGGCAAGGUGCUUCUCCUAUCGCGUCUGCUGGCAGAAGUGGAAAUCUAGCCGGCGUGCAGGUUCUUGUGCAGGUGGGUGUGCUAGUGUAGUUUUUCAGUUGACGAUCUAGCUAGCGCACUUUUUUCAGGUUGGCAUUGUUCAGUUUGAAAAGGUACAACAGUUCACUUAGUGAAUACGCCACCAAUUAACUUUGGAAAAGUACGCUGCUGAGCACUUCUCCAUCUAGAUUUGUUCUUGUUUAUGCCCCUCGAAGUAGAUGAUUCCUCGCACCUGAACUGUCGAAAGUCUAUACUGCAUUUUUUUGUAACUUCAGUGUAGUGAGCAGAUGGGGGCACCAGCAACGAACCAGCGGCGACCGGGCCUUCUCUCAUCCAUGAGCUGGCCCCACUCAACCUCUGUCUCCAGGACGAAGACGAUGUCCACGGCGCUGCCCAGCGGGAAGGGCAACAAAAAAGUUAAAAAAAAAUUGCUAGUGCAGCUGAUUGCCUCCUCUGUGUUGUGAUGUACUUCCUCUGUAAACAAAUGUAAGAGCGUUUAGAUCACUAAAAUAGUAAUAUAAACACUCUUAUAUUAGUUUACGGAGGGAGUACUAUGUUGUGUAGAUUUUUUUUGAAUUCAUGUUGUGAACCCAACUAAGGUUGAGCACAAAAGUUUAGAUGGCGGCUGGUUUGAAUUUUCUCCUAUAGCAGAAAUCUCGCUUCCCUCCUAUUGUACUAUAUCCACUUGUGUGUUGUUUGUCAAUGCUUUUUGUCUGAAGUUUAGUAGUACCUGUGGGUGCAAAAAAAUUGGUGUUGUGAUACAUAGGUUCAGUUUCUUAGGUCAUUCAAAAGAAAAUGAAAAAAAAAUGUAUUUUCGUCUCCAAAAAGCAUCAAUGAUGUGGAGUGCUUAUCUUCUUGUGUACUUCUAUCGAUGCUUGUGUUUCAUGGAGAGAGAGAGAGAGAGAAAGAAAGAGAGAGAUAAUCAUUCAUGUUUCCAUUCUUUCUAUGUACUUCAGAGACAUUUUAUGACAGAGAAAAAAGGUUAAUGACACAUUCUUUUGAGAGAUACAUAGUGGUUCGGGCUUCAAUGCUUUUUUACACGAAAGUUCAUGUUUCAGAAAUUUCUAAGUUCACGUGUACCACAUACUGAAGAAAUUCAUCAAUGAAAAAAGGGCCGCCUAGGACAUUUAACCGACAACAAAAAUGCCUGAAAAUGUUGUGAGACAAAAGACACUUCACAAGAUAUAACAUAGUAAGUUCGUAGAAAGUGGAAAACCCCUUAAUUUUGUUUUGUAAGUUUAACCAUUUCUAAAAACAAUACCUUGAAGUUCAAAUGUAAAUAAUAGGGCGGUUCAAUGUUUAUUACAAACCUAUGAUUUUCCCCGUUACUAUAGAAUAAACCAAGAAGUUCAAAAAAAAUGACGUAGUUCGAUUUUAAAAAAAAAGGUGUUUCUACAUUUUACUAAAAAAUGGAGAAGUUCAAAUUUAAAUAACAUAGAAGUUCAAAAUGAUUAUUUCAAAACCAAGAAGGUCAAACGAAAAAAACCGAGCAGUUUAAAAAGUUUGUAAACAUGGAUUUGCCCCCUGUUUUUUUAAGAUCCAGAAGUUCAAAUUUAAAGAAGUGAGCGGUUCGAUGUUUAUUACAUAAUUAGGACUUUUCCCUUUACUAAUAAAUAACACCAAGAAGUCCUAAUUGAAAAAUGAAGUUGUUUGAUGUUUAUAAAAAUCUUAGAUUUUUCCCGAUACUAAAGAUUAAAACCACGAAGUUCAAUUUUAAAAAACGGAGUAGUUCAAUGCAUAUUAAAUACUCAGUUUUUUCUCGUUACUAAAUAAUAAAUCCAAGAAGUUCAAUUUUUAAAAGCAGAGCAGUUUGAUAUUUAUUUGUAAACUUAGUUUUUUUCUGGUUACUAAAGAACAAGACCAAUAAGUUCUAUUCUAAAAUAACGAAGAAGUUCGAUGUUUGUAACAAAACUACAAUUUUCAAAUUUCUAGAAAAAAACACAAAAAAAGUUCAAAUAAAAAAUUUAGAGCGUUCGAUGUGUGUAAAAACUCAAAUUUUUUCCGUUACUAAAGUGAAGUAGAUAGAAGUUCAAAGCGAUAACAGCUAGAAGUUCACGUACUGCAUGGUGUGUGUUUCAUACGAAAAAAGAGAGUAAAAAGGCGAAGUCUAAAUUUUUUGUUGCUAGAAGUUCAAGUGCUCUUCCGUCGGAAGUUCAAACAUUCUUGAGAGAGAGAGGUUCACCGCGUAUUUCCAUGUUCGAAAACACAAAAAAGAAAUUGUUUUUUGUGUUUUAAAAUAAUUCUCUCAAUACACAAAGAAGUUCAGUUAUUAUUUGAUAGCAAUUUGAUUUCAAAAAAGAAAAUAAAAAAUUCAAAUUAUAAAAAUGGAAAAAGUUCAUGUACUACAUGGUGUGUGUUUAAUAUGGGAAAAAUGAAUAAAAAGGCAAAGUUUUCCUCGUUAUUAAAGAAUGGAAACAAGAAGUUCAGAAAUUAAAUAACAAAGAAGUUCAACUUUUAAUAAUAGAGCGCUUCAAAAUUUCAUAAAAAGAUUGAGAAAUAAAACCAGGAAGUCCAUAUUAAAAAGAUGGAGAAAUUCGAUGAUUAUAGAAAACUUAGAUUUUCCUUGUUAUUAAAGAAUGGAAACAAGAAGUUCAAAAAUUAAAUAACAAGACGUUCAACUUUUAAUAAUUGAGCGCUUCAAAAUUUCGUAAAAAAGAUUAAGAAAUAAAACCAGGAAGUCCAUAUUAAAAAGAUGGAGAGGUUCGAUGAUUAUAGAAAACUCAGAUUUUCCUCGUUAUUAAAGAAUGGAAAAAAGAAGUUCAAAAAUUAAAUAACAAGAAGUUCAACUUUCAAUAAUAGAGCGUUUCAAAAUUUCAUAAAAAGGGAUUAAGAAAUUCAGAUUAAUAUUCAUAAAAAACUCAGAUAUUUUCAUGUAACCGAGAGAAGUUCAGAUUGAUAACUGCCAGAAGUUCACGUACUACACGGUGUGCAUUUUGUAUUAAAAAAAGAAUAAAAAGCAAAGACUAAAUUUUUUAUUGUUAUAAGUUCAAGUACUCCGUCGGAGAAAGUUCAAAAAAUUAUUGUGAGAGUGGUUUGUACAAAAGGAAUAUCAUUUGUGUAACACUAACAAAUAGAUGAGAAAAUUAUAAAUAAAAAUACGUCACAGAAGUUCAACGUGAAAACAGCAGGAAGUUCAACUACUACAGUGAAUAAAUUUUAGAUGAAAAACUUCUAAAAUCGCCACGAGUAUGAAAAAAUGAUCAACACGGGAAAGUUGCGUGUUUACAGCAGCUUUCCACUUGUAUAUCACUUGCUCAAUUCCGGUGAGUGUUCCGGUGAGUGGAUGGAGAGCUACGAGAAAAAAAGCACGUGAGAAACAGAGUGAAGUUCAAGUAAACAUGCCGAGAAGUUCAAGUUCUUCAUGCGGUGCAUUUUUAAAGAAUCUAUUUCGUGAAAAAGGCAGAAGGAAUGAUCCUGCCGUUUUUGAAAUAACUUGAAAACGGCUAGGAAUCAGAGAAAACCAUCAAAAUGAAAAAGUUUCACAUUUUCCGUAGCUUUUCAACGGUAUAUUAUUUGCCCCAUUCCGAUAAAAGUUGUAAAAAUUACAGCAAAUAUACAUUUUUAGCCAUUUUAAAAAUUGACUUAAAACAGUAAUGAAUUGGGAGAAAUAAUAUAUACCAAAACGUUUCGCAUUUCCUCAAGCUUUCCAACGCCAUAUUAUUUGCUACAUUCGGACGUAAGGUUAAAAAAUUAGCUCGAAAAUACGAACUCGGUGGAACUUGUACCGUUUUCUAAAUUACUUUUAAACCGUUCAAAAUUAGAAAAAACUUUCAAUGAGAGAAAGUAGCGCAUUUUUAUAGGCUUUCCAACGCCAUAUCAUUUUCCUCAAUUGGAUUAGCCGUUUAGAAAUGACAUCGAAAAUACGAACUCGGCUGUUCAGUUUACGAAAUUUUUAUGAUUUUCCAAAUUACUCUUUAACCAUAAGGAAUUAGAGAUAACUUUCAACAUGUGGAAGGAGUGGUUUUAUAGCAGCUUUCCAACGCCAUAUUAUUUGCCUCAUUCCGAUAAACAGUUUAGAAAUGCGAUCGAAACUACGAUUCACGUUUUUUGUAUGAAGAAAAAACGGUUUUCAAAACUGCUCUUAAACCUCUUACAUUUUGCCAAAAAUUUAACUUGUGUAAUGAUAUUGGUGUCCAUAGCUUUCCAACGGUAUAUCGCAAGCCCCAUUUGAGCAAUGUUGGCGGAAGUUCAACCUAGCACUGGGAGAAGUUCAGGUCGAACAACUUAGGCAGUAAAAUUGCAAAAAAAAGCAAUUUCAUCACAACCCGAGAGCAAAAUCCGCCAAUGAGCGAUAUUCCUAUUUAAAACGGGUAUUUAGUUGCUAAAAACGUUUCUAGAUUACCCUAACAUCAUAUAUAACACAACUAAACAGAAUAAUUCGCGCGGGAAGACACGGUUGCGAAGAUAGCCCGAAGGUCGGGUUCGUACAGAGGGAAGUUCAGGCGCGUUACUCAGGCAGUUCAGGUUGUGAUCAGAAUAUUAUUCUGGUCCCGUGAUCAUAAUAGUGUUUAUGCAUAUUGUUGGGGAUAUUACCACUUGGCGUAAACCGGCCAGGAGAGGCCGGGUUAACCCCUUAAGUAGUUCAUCUGUAUCUGAAGUCCAUGAAGACAGACGGUGACGCUUUAUGAAGGCCCAGGGCCCAAAGCCGGUUUAAGGCCUGUAGACAUAAACCGGCAUUAAUAUGUAAACUUGUGUUGUAAGAUAGAAGUAGCAAAGACCGAGCCGGACCACGAUUAUGAGCCGGCCUCGGGAUUCUGUAAACCGACGGGCGUCAACCCAUGUAUAUAAGGGGACGACCCGGCAGAUGUUCAAGGACGAUAGACAACAACUCGAGACUCGGGCAAAGCGUAUUCGCUCCCUGGUCAUCGAAACCCCAGCAAUUCCAUCACAACUAGACGUAGGCUUUUACCUUCAUCGUAAGGGGCCGAACUAGUAUAAAAUUCUCUUGCGUCCCUUGUCCGCUUUAACCCCUUUAAGUUAACCCGUAGCGAUGGCUCCACGACUAAGUCCUUUCUCUAGGAUAUCUGCCGUGACAAAACCACGACAGUUGGCGCCCACUGUGGGGCUAUCGCACGAUGGUUUCAAGUUCUUGGAGGCCAACUUCGAAGGACUCAAGGGUUAUGCUGUGGGCCGGAUGACCAAGAGUCGUCGCGACAAGCUUUACAUCGACGAUGCAGGCUGGGGCCCCGAGGCCGGCUCAAUCGAGUACGGGUACCGGGUCCCCUUUGGUGGCAUACACGUUUUCAUUGGCAAGAUCGGCGAACCGGGCCCUGAGCCGGACAUCUGCACUGACCUCGUCGAAACGGCUCAGCGUGCGAGAUCUGCCCGGGUCAAGCCUGUCAUGAAGCGUGCCUUCGUAGGAGUUAUCCAUGGAGGGCAAUCUGAGGAUAGAUCGGAAUCUGGUGGUGAGACCGUCGUUUAUUCCGGCGACGAGUCAUCGACCGGAGAGACCGAGUCGUUAUAUCAGUUACAAGAUGGCCGGAUUGGGGGCUGUUCCGAUGGCGACAGUAUUCCAGACCCCUUUGAUCUGCCAAACCGGGUCGCGAUCUUCAUGGCCGGUACGCAACCGGCGCUCCACUCUUCGACCGCAACGGUGAUGAUUUCCGGAUCGGCAGUGGCAACACUGGCCGGGGCAGGAGGCCCUGUGCGCCCGCCAGCUCAGGUUCUAUCUGAUUUGUUUGACGCGUUGGCAACGCUGAUGGCGGAGGUUAACCCGGCGGAUCAGGAUGCACACAAUGCGGAAAUCGCGAAAGUGAAAGAUCAGAUCACCCAGGCCAAAGCCGACUUAGCAGCUGAGGAUACAAGGAUGGCCGCGGAGCGGGCCGCUUUGGAUGCACAAGCUUACCGGAUUAUGCUGGAUCAGAGUGCGUCGAACGAAGUCCUAAAGAGGAGGUACCGAUCUCGCCUGCCGCCGGUUUAUGACGCUAGAAAUCUCUUUAACACCCCAGGAGCAGGGACCAGUAAUCCGCCGGUGGUAAACCGGGCGGAGGCACCUGGAGCAGGGGCGCCGGUUCAGCCACGUUUGGUGGAUCCGCCUCGUCAGAACAACAUUGUAACACCGCAUGUCCCCACGCCACUGGGUCAUUACUCUAACCCGAUGGACAACAUUGUCGCUGCCGCUUCACGGCUGGCGGCCAUCCCGAUCGAAGGCGAUUCUCCGGCGGCGGUCGAGACGCGUCGGGUUAAGGAGCUUCUUCAGACAGCCUUGGUUCAACAGGAGGCUUAUUAAUAUAGUCGCGAUCGGAUUCAUUCCACUCCCCGUCCAAGCCGGAGUUACAGCAGGCGUAUGGAUGAAUCGGCGGUGUCAAGAAAUGCGCGGGAACCGUGAUCCGCCCCGUGGCAAUAACCGGCGGGUGGUGCUGGUGAUGCUUAGGAGGUGGUGGACCGGGCUCGGGCACGCAGAGAGGCCGAGUUAGCGGCGCAGCAUGAAGCCCGUCAGCUUACUCCAGUUCGUCCAAACACAUCGGUGGAACCAGGAGUUACCUCUAGUUCUUUGGGAGUGUCGUGUCUCGUCCCGGCGUUGCGCAAUGUGCGCCUGCCCAAGGAUUUCAAGGGCCCGCGCAAGGUGCCGAAUUACGCCGCCGAUUUAUCCCCUGAAACAUGGGUCGAAAGCUAUGAGAUGGCCAUGGAGAUGCUGGAUGUGGAUGAUGCGGCAUGUGCGAAAUACUUCACCAUGAUGCUAGAAGGGAUGGCCCGCACUUGGCUAAAGAGCUUACCGGCUAAUUCUAUCAGGUCAUGGGCCGAGUUGAGAGCCCGGUUUAUUCAGAAUUUCAAGGAUACAUGCAAGCAGCCCAUGUCAAUUGUGGACUUAGCUGCCUGUGUCCAGGAGGAAGGAGAGUCAACAACCCAUUGGGUGCGCCGGGUUUCGGAGAUUUUGCAUUCAUCGGACCGCAUCAACGCUGACACCGCAGUUUUAACAUUGGAAGGCAAUUGCCGUUUUGAACCCCUGAAGUUGAAGUUGGGACGACUCAAACAUCAUUGUAAUGACAUGGGAACCCUCAUGGCUGCACUGGUGAAGUAUGCCGACUCUGAUAGUACCAAGGAUCCCGAGUCUGACGAUGAUAAGGCAGGGAAGGGAAAAAAGAGCGACAACGCCAAGGGGCAGCACCACAACCCGGCGGGUCAUGGAAACGGCGACAAGCGUAAGGCGGACCACGGUUUAGACUUUGUGGCUAAUACUAAUACACAUGACAAGGGCCAGCGGCGUAAGGGUAAACCGCCCCAGCGCGGUGGAGGGCCAAGUCCUAAUUCGGACCGUUUGUCUUAUCUGUUGAACCAGCCCUGUCCAAAGCAUGGGACGAAGGAGAUCCCGUCCACGCACCUCUGGAAAGAUUGUUACAUCAUGCAAGAGUUUAAAAAUUCUGAUUCUUUCCGGUAUGAUCAUGGACCAGGAGGCGGUUCGGGCCCCGGGUCUCAUGGGCCGGGUUAUGGUGGAGGAAAUUUCGGUUCAGGCUUCCACGGUAAUCAGGGUGGACAUAACAAUCAAAGUAAUCAGGGUAACCAAGGUGGCUAUAAUCAUCAGGGCAAUCAGCAGCAGCAGCAGCAGUCGGGUUACCAGAGCAACCCGAAGCAGUUGAAUAGCGGACAGUAUCAUGUCUUCACCACUAGCUUGGACAAGCGCGAUCAGAAGCUUCAUAAAAGGGCGGUGAAUGCCGUUGAACCGGCGUUGCCCCGUUAUUUGCGCUGGUCUGAGCAGCUGAUUGUGUGGAGUAGAGAAGAUCAUCCACCCCGGGUUGACAAUCCGGGUCAUCUGGCUCUGGUGGUGGCGCCUCAAGUGGGAGGUUAUAAGUUCACUAAGGUACUCAUGGAUGGAGGGAGUAGUAUCAAUAUCCUUUAUUAUGAAACUUUCCGUCGCAUGGGGUUAACAAAUAAAUCUUAAACCGUCCAAUACGGUGUUCCAUGGUGUGGUGCCUGGUAAGUCGGCAUAUCCUGUUGGUAAGAUAGCUCUGGAGGUGGCUUUUGGAGAUGAGCAUGACUCGAGAUUAGAAACCUUGACCUUUGAAGUGGUGAAAAUCAGAAGCCCAUAUCAUGCUCUAUUUGGACGGCCAGCUUAUGCUAAGUUUAUGGCACGGCCUUGUUAUGUCUAUCUGCAGCUCAAGAUGCCGGAUCACAAGGGAACUAUAAUCGUGCAUGGGAGCCGCAAGAUUGCUCUGGAGUGUGAAGAAGGUGAUGUGGCUUAUGCUGAGUCGGUUUGUGCAACAGAAGAGUUGAAGUUUUACAAAGACAAUGUUGAUCCGGCAGAUAUGACUUCAUUAAAGAAACCAACUACAGAGCAUGAUCUGGCCCUGAAAUUCAAAUCGGCUGAUGAGACUAAGCUUGUUGACUUCGUGCCCGGCGAUUCGUCCAAGCAAUUUAGCAUUAGCGCUAACUUGGAUCCGAAAUAGGAAAGUGCGCUUAUCAAGUUCAUCCGUGAGAAUCGGGACAUAUUUGCGUGGAAGCCUUCUGACAUGCCAGGUGUACCGAGAGAACUCGCUGAGCACACUCUCAAUAUUGAUCCAAAGUAUAAACCGGUCAAGCAGUUUCUCCGCCGGUUCAAUGAAGAAAGACACAAGGCUAUUGGAGAAGAAGUAGCUAGACUCUUGGCGGCUGGAUUUAUCGUUGAAGUAUUCCAUCCUGAGUGGUUGGCUAAUCCGGUGCUGGUCCUCAAGAAGAAUGGCACUUGGCGUAUGUGUGUGGACUACAAAGAUCUCAACAAAGCUUGUCCAGCAGAUCCUUUUGCCCUUCCCCGUAUUGAUCAAAUUAUUGAUGCUACGGCGGGUUGCGAGCGUUUAAGCUUUUUGGAUGCAUAUUCUGGUUAUCAUCAGAUCAAAAUGGCAGUUAAGGACCAGGAGAAGACAGCCUUCAUAACUCCCUUUGGAGCCUUCUGCUAUGUGUCCAUGCCCUUUGGGCUCAAGAGUGCCCAGGCGACUUAUCAACGGUGUGUGCAGAAUUGUCUUCAUAAGCAGAUCGGCCGCAAUGUUCACGCCUAUGUGGAUGAUAUUGUGGUAAAAUCGAGGAAGAAGGAGACAUUGAUUGAUGACUUGAAGGAAACCUUUGAUAACCUACGGGUUUAUAAAAUGAUGCUUAAUCCGGCUAAGUGUGUCUUUGGUGUACCUGCAGGCAAGCUCUUGGGCUUUUUGGUGUCUAAUAGGGGUAUUGAAGCUAAUCCGAAAAAUAUCAAGGCCAUCACCUCCUUGGCCAAACCGAAGUGUAUCAAUGAUGUUCAACGCCUGGCAGGAUAGAUUGCCGCGUUGAGCCGGUUUAUCAGUCGCCUUGGAGAGAAGGCCAUCCCUUUGUAUCAGAUGCUGAAGAAAACGGAUAACUUCGUCUGGAGUGACGCCGCUAAUGAAGCAUUUGAGGACUUAAAGCGGCAGCUGGCUAAUCUGCCGGUUCUUGCUGCUCCGGUUGACAAAGAACCAUUGUUGCUAUAUGUGGCAGCUAAUGCUCGGGCUGUUAGUGUGGCUAUUGUGGUGGAGCGCAAGGAGGCCGGAAAGGAAUAUCUGGUUCAAUGGCCGGUCUACUAUAUCAGUGAGGUACUUAUUGAGUCCAAGCAGAGGUACCCGCAUUGGCAAAAAUUGGUGUAUGGGGUUUUUAUGGCAAGCCGAAAGCUUAAGCAGUAUUUCCAAGGUCAUCCCAUCACGGUGGUCAGCUCUGCUCCGUUGGGAGAUAUAAUCCAGAACAGGGAAGCAACUGGCCGGAUUGCUAAGUGGGCUAUAGAGCUCGGGCCUCACGGGUUGAAAUACAUACCCCGAACGGCGAUCAAAUCUCAGGCACUUGUGGAUUUCAUCAAUGAUUGGACAUAAUUACAAGCGCCAGAGGAGAAGCCAGAUCAUACUUAUUGGACUAUUCAUUUUGAUGGGUCCAGGCAAUUGGAGGGCUCGGGGGCUGGAGUCGUAUUAACUUCCCCACGAGGUGAUAAGUUUUGUUAUGUUCUCCGUUUAAUGUUCCCUUGCACAAUGCAGCUGAAUAUUAGGCUUUACUCCAUGGUCUUCAGAUGGCUAAGGAGAUGAACCUAAGCCGAGUUAAGUGCUUCGGUGACUCGGAUCUGGUGGCUCAACAAGUGUCCGACACUUGGGAUUCCAAGGACCCACUAAUGGCAGCAUAUCAUCGUGAGGUGGAUAUUGUUGCAGGUCACUUUAAAGGUUAUCAGGUGGAUCAUGUGGACCGGUGGAAGAAUGAAGCGGCGGACGCUUUAAGCCGCCUGGGUUCCCAACGUAAACCGGUUCCACCUAAUAUCUUCCUGGAUGUUUUGCAUCAUCCGUCCGUCAAGCCCCUGGUGAAGAGGAUUUGGCUGUUCCUGAUCCGGAGGCUCAGUUGGUGGCGGCUCUUCACGUUAUCCCGGAUUGGACGGUUCCAUAUCUGGCGUAUAUGAACCGGGGCGAGUUACCAGAGGAUGAGACUCUGGCCAGGCAGAUAAUCCGGCGGUCCAAGUGCAUGACUAUUAUUAAUGGGGAGUUACAUCAUUGCAGUGUGACAGGGGCGUUUCAACGCUGUGUGUCUCCUGAAGAAGGCCGUGAUAUUUUACGUGAGAUCCACGAAGGAGAUUGUGGUCACCAGGCCGGUUCAAAGUCUUUGGUGGCCAAGGCGUUUCGUCACGGUUUCUAUUGGUUGACAGCUCAUGCUGAUGCCGAGGACUUGGUCAAAAGAUGUGAUGGCUGCCAGAAAUUCUCAAGGCGCGCUCAUGUACCGGCUCAAGAAUUGAGGAUGAUUCCAAUCACCUGGCCAUUUGCAACUUGGGGGCUGGAUAUGGUUGGGCCUUUCAAGAGGUCCAAGAACAAGAAGACCCACCUUUUGGUGGCAGUUGAUAAGUUCACGAAGUGGGUGGAGGCAGGGCCAGUUAGUAAGUGUGACGCAGCCACGACGGUUCAAUUCAUCAAAAAGGUGAUCUUCCGGUUCGGCUUUCCACACAGCAUUAUAACAGAGAAUGGUACCAAUCUGUCAAAAGGUGCCAUGAAGGAGUUCUGUCAACGUGAGCACAUCCGGCUUGAUGUGUCAUCAGUGGCUCACCCACAGUCUAAUGGUCAAGCGGAGAGGGCCAAUCAAGAGAUCUUGAGAGGCAUCAAACCCCGGCUUAUGGUUCCUUUGCAACGGACGCCGGGUUGUUGGGUUGAGGAGUUACCUUCUGUGUUGUGGAGCAUCAAUACCACACCCAACAGAUCGACAGGAUACACACCAUUCUUCAUGGUUUAUGGAGCGGAAGCAGUUCUUCCUAGUGACAUCCGUCAUGACUCGCCUCGUGUAGCGGCAUAUGUUGAAGUUGACAACGAGAAGGCACGACAGGAAGCUCUUGACCUCUUAGACGAGGAACGUGACAUGGCGGCAGCCCGUUCGGCGAUUUAUCAGCAAGAUCUGCAUCGUUAUCAUAGCCGCCGGGUUAGAACCAGAACCUUUCAAGAAGGUGCUUUGGUGCUUCGGCUCAUCCAGGAUCAGACGGAUAUGCAUAAACUAUCCCCCCCUUGGGAAGGACCCUUUGUGGUUAGCAAGAAUCUGCACAAUGGGUCAUACUACCUAAUCGAUGUUCGAGAGCGCAAAGACUCACGUAAAUCGGAGGAGGAGACCAACCGGCCGUGGAAUAUUGCUCAUCUUCGGCCCUACUAUACUUGAGCCAUAGGAUCUGCUUAUGUACAUAUUAUGACAUUGUAUAUAUUAUGAUCAAUAUAAUAAACCGGAACCUCAGCUAAAGCGGGGUAUCCGUUGUUACAUCAUGUGUGGUUACAUGGAGCUUACAAAGCGGUGUCCGGUUUACCCCUUGAUUUAGCUUCUCAAAGCUUUAUAUUACAUCACUUGGGGGCUUGGUCGUAUCCGAACCAUAGCUACACCUCUUGAUCGGUGCAAUGCCACAACAUCACUUGGGGGCUUGGUCGUAUCCGAACCAUAGCUACACCUCUUGAUCGGCACAAUGCCACAGCAUCACUUGGGGGCUUGGUCGUAUCCGAACCACAGUCACACCUCUUGAUCGGCUCAAAGCCACAUCAAUCCGGGGCCAAAGAGAGUGUUGUAAAACAACAACUCAAACAUAGGCACCCACUGAGCACAGCUCACAAUGUUGCUUGGGGAUUCUUUGCCGUCGAAAUGAACUAAGAAUCUACACUUGUAACAGGCUAUCAAGCCAUGACUUGGAAGUCUGGUGUAUACACCUAAAACCCCGGGUUAACCUGCCUAUUUAAGUAAGUCACUCCGCCCAGGUAAACCUGGUAUGACCCUUCGAACUUUGACAAGUUACUCUAAAAUGAAGACCCUGAACUUGUCAAGUUAAAACGAUGAUUGGUUAAGGAUUGAGGACCAUCUUAAAAGGCUUUGCAAAAAUGGUUUAACUCAGUGGCCUGGCAGCCCAUGAAAAGCCUCGAAUUUGGGGCCUGGCAGCCCGUGAAAGCCUCGACUACAACGGUUUUUAUUUGCCUUUUGCUAAGUUUUCUUUGUUUCAUAAGAUUUGUGAUGUUUUUAAAACCGGUGUUUAUCAACCCGGUCAGGCUGUCAACUACAAGUUGUCAGUACACGAUCAAAUUAUAAUCCGGAGACUAUCAGCCCGGUCUGGUUUUGACUCAAAGUCACCAGUAUGGAAUAAACCGGUGUUUAUCACAGCCCGGAACGGUUUUCUGAUAAAACGACAUCAUAUAACAGGAGUUACUUCUACUCCGGAUUAGGGUUAUUACCCUCAUUACAAAGUUGGUCAGCCAACCCUAUGCCUAAAGGUCAUAGGUAUCAUAUAUUUCCAUAUUUGGUUAUCUUUUACAACCUUGGUUAUAAACCUUGGUCAUAUAUAUAUUUGGGUAUCAUGACCUGCCCGGUGGUAAACCGCCAGGGCGCUUUAAGCUUCUUAUCUGCAGGAACAACUUGAAUAAAUAGCUAUGGAUUAUGAACAUCAUAUCUUAAGCAUGGCGGAUUAGCAUGCAUCAGUUGCAGAUAAAUAUGCACGAAGGCAUAACAGACCAAGUGCUUUAACUAGCCUAUUACAAGGCAUUUCAGUGCCCAAAGGGAUAACUGUUUCUCAAUAAGCAUUGCAGCACGUGGAAGACUAAACCGGCCCCCGGAUUAUGAUUGCUUAUCAGCUUGACCUGAUGGCUACGGAUCAUCUUGCACCGGUUCAUCUUCUUCGUCUCUACCCAGCGGCUGGAAGUCAACAGUUGUCCAGUCGAUCCCAGUUAAAGCUUGGAACACAGCUUCGUCGCUUAUAAGGGUUGACAGUUCAAUAUCAGGGGCAUAAGUGUGCUUACGGAUUGGAGGGAUCAGAUUUUGCGCUUCACGAGUCGGUGCAGCAACCCGUUUGUUAUUAGUGUCAUAGCUCGCCUGGUAAAAAGAAAGAUCAGCUUCUUCAGCCAGUUGACAAGCCAGUGGAUGUACUUCCCGGUUUAUGGCGCGGAGAUCCUCCUGAUCAAAUUCUGAUCCGUCUUCUUUUAAGCUGGGAUAGCCUUUAGCCACUUCCAUCGGAUCAAGGUCAGGUACCCAUGCUUUUGCCUGGGUUAGUGCGGUCAAAGCACCCGCCCUUGCAGCAGAUCUCUUUAGCUCUUCUACCCGGGCAGGCAGCAUCGACAACCUUGAUAAGGUUUCCUUAAUUAAAGUGGGGGGAGGCUUGUUGUGUGAAGCGGCACAGAUGAUCCGUUGUGCACCGGUAUAUAACUGCUCUAUCAGCGUGUAGGUGGCCUUCAGUUUCUUCUGUACAUCAGAGCCCAGGUGACUAAUGCGAGUUCCUGCAUCAUUACAAAUGUCAGUAAACCGACAACACAUGGGAAAGAUAUGUUGAAAGUAUUAAGGAAAAGAUGUUUACCGAACACAGCAGCAGUCAUGGCAUGAAUCUGCCGCUUUACGCCGGUCAGUUCAUCAACCACCGGUUUAAGAGCGGCUUCUGCGUUUUCAGCCCUUUUUAUCAAAGCGGAUUUUUCAGUCUCCCAAUCCGCCCGCUCUUUGUUGAAGCCCUCUUUUAGUUUCUCCAUAGCGCCUAGAGCGCUGGUCAAUUCUUCCUUUGCUUUGGAGGCUUCAGCUUGCUGGGAUUUGAGGUUCUCUUGCAGAUCAGCGGUUUGGCUUUCCUUCUUGCUUAGUUCAGCCUAUAAAGAGACAGAUAUAUAAUGAGUUGACAGUACAUAUUUGAAGUACCAAGCACAUAACAAGUUAUGCCCUUAGUACUUGGGGGCUAAUGCAUAUUUGCUCUUUAUCAGAAAUUUUUACAAGUCCCAAGCACAAUACAAGUAUUAAGCUUGGCACUUGGAGGCUAAUGUGUAUUUGCUCAUAAAAUGCUGAUAUGGGUAUUCUUCUACAAAGUCCCGGUUCAUCUUUAUAAAGUUAAACCGGCCCUUGGGGGCCACAUCAGUGAAGUUAAGAUGCAUUGUUGCAAACAUGAAAUUGCUACUAAGUCCCGGUUUAAAUUGGUAUCUUAAACGGUCACUUGGGGGCUACUGGAGUUGAUAAGCUGCAAUUAAAUAUAAGAGAAAAACACUUAUGAAGUUACCUCAUAUCGCUCCUUCAUCAUAUUUACCAAACCGACUUCAUAGUCACGGCUGGUGUACAGACGGUUCAGGAAGCCAGAGUGAAGGUCUUGAGCAUUCAGAUGGGCAUAAUUUGACAAAUCGGCGUUCCAUCUGCCUUUGCCAAUUGCAGAGAGCUCAUCUUUGGCAGUAUGCUUUGACAAAGCGACAGGAUUGCCCGGAGCGGUAUGGCCAGUGCCAGUAAUCAUAAUGUCAUCAUCUUUUUCAUCUGCAGCCGUUACUGGGGUUGGCGGUUUGUCAGUAUUUUUAACUGGACUUGCCGGUUUAUUGUCAGUUCGGACAGGGCUGGUUGGCUGGUCAGCAUGGCUUGUGGUGUCAACUUCUGCCUGCUCAGUAACGAAGUCAUGAUCUUGAGCGGUGGGUCAUUCAGUAUGGCAUCAAUGUUGGUCUCUUCAGGAUCUGGAGUUUUCUCCGGUUCAACAGCCACGUCUUCAUCAGCCGGUUUAUUCAACCGAGCUUUCUUGCUGGGUCUGGGCUUGGCGCUGAGAAAAGAUAGACAUGAGGAUCAGUACAGUAUGUAAAGAUAACACAUCAAGAAUAAAGACACGUGCAUAGCUCACCCAUGAACUGUUUUGAGGGGUGGAAGCUGUGUGGCCGAUGACUCGCCAGAAGAUGAGUGAGAAGUACCCUGAUAAUUUGAAUCAGACGGGUUAAGAGGCUGGCGGAAACAACCCGCUUUGGGGCAUGAAGUGUCAAGGGUAUAAGAGACCUCUGAUCGGCGUUUUUCGAACUGGAGUAUUCGGUAAACUGGCGGAGGUAACUACCUGGCCGCUGUGCCGGGUUGUGCGGCGAGCCUCGUGCUGCUGUGUCUUCAAAAGAAAGUUUGGGUCCAAGUAAGCAAGGGGGUGAGAAAAUUUUACUUUCCGGUUUGCUUGACGGAUUUUUGAUGUUGGCAGAGGAUCUGAAUCGGAGGAAAGAAUGGUUACCUCUACGUCAUCAGCAUGACUGCCUUCAGCGUCGUCCUGAUAAUAAUCAUUGUCAAUGAGGUGUACGAAAAAUGAACCAAGAGAGUCAAGUUCUACCUCUGAUUCCAGAUUACCCACAUCGUCGUCAGCUGGUAGAUCGGAGGAUGCAGUGGUACUUUUCUUGGCAGGUUUUUUAACAACCUUGGUCUUUGGACGAACUGGUUUCGCCGGUUUGUCUUGUGGUGGUUUCUUAUUCCAGAACGGAUCAUCACCCUGUCAGAAAAUAAUCACACUUGCAGAGAAUAUUUGGACAGAAGCAACUUCAGAUAAAAAGAUUAUAUGAUUCUUACAGCUAGUGGUUUGUUGAAGGUGCAGAAAGGGAGUAGUCCGGUUUGGGCACAGACAGCCUCCGGUUCGUUCAGCAUCUUUUUUACAACCUCAGUGACUUCUGCAUCUGUAAGCUGAAUGUCAAUGUGCCGCUGAGCAUCCUUGAAACUCCCCGUAUACUCACACAUCAAACCGGAGCACCGGCUUAAGGGCAUAAUACUCCAGCUUAUCCAACAACGAGCAAGAUCAACUCCUGUCAAACCGUUUGCCAUGAAGGCUCUAAGCUAUGAUAAUUGAGGAGGAUAGUUGGCCCUUUCUUUUGCAGUCAACCUCUGAGGAAAAGGAUGUGUGUUGCUCAGGCGUUCAGGGUGGUAACCCGGCAAGGGGUUUUCAUCAGGUGGAGAUGUAUCCUUGCAAUAAAACCAGGUCUGGUUCCACUCUUUGGGGUGACUGUGGAGCUUGUGGUGAGGGAAAGUAGUUUCCUUCCUUUUCUGAACCGCCAUUCCGCCCAGUUCCGUAUUGGGUCCAUCCGAGAACUCUGUGUGACGGUUUAAGUGAAAGAAAUCCCUAAACAGUUCGACUGUAGGUUCCUCUUGCAGAUAAACCUCACAGAAGACUUGGAAGUGGCAGAUGUUGGUCACAGAAUUGGGACCGAUGUCUUGAGGGCGCAACUGAAAAUUGGCUAGUACAUCUCGGAAAAUUUUCGAACCGGGAGGGCUAAAACCUUGACUCAAAUGGUCAGCAAACACGACUACCUCUCCGUCCUUGGGUGUAGGAGGAUUUUCCGGGCCAGGGACCCUCCAGUGGAUGACAUCUUUCUUGGCUAAAGCGUUCGUUUUAACAAGAUUGUUUAACUGUUCUUCGGUUACUCGAGAAGGAGCCCAAUUGCAUUCAUAGACUUUCUUGGCCAUGGCAAUGAAAGAUCUGAAACAUGAUUAUGGCCGGUUUAAGAUUUACAAUGGACAACUAUACAGUGGUAUAAGGAUGUAAGCAUAUUGUUAAACCGGAAUUGGUUAUUCGUAAACCGGAGUCUGACAAUGGAAACAAUACAAUGAUGAAUGCAUUGGCAGUUCAACAGGGGACUAAUGGUAUCUACUUGGUCAUCAUUUUGUAUAUGAAGUUAAACCGCCCAAUCUGGUAUUAAAAGUGUAUAAGUGAAGGAAGAAACAAGUUCCACAUCUUGCCAUGGUAAUUUCAGAUCUACCGCGUGUUGGAAAAACAAAAUAUAUUCUGACCUAAUUUCUAGCGUGUUAAAGGUUCACCAAGUUGAGAUGAGUUUUAUACAAGGCAGAUGUUCUAACAAGGAAGCAGGAGUUUAAAGUACAAAGGCUUUGGAAAAAGUAGAUCUAAACUAGCCAUUGGUACUGCUAAAGAGAAACAAACAGAUUCAAGAACUUCGAAGAACUACGAAGAACGACGAACCCUAACGGUUGAUCUGGAGUAAGAAAGGAGGAACGUACUGGUGCUGAGGAAGCAGCGGAGGAUUGCCGCGUUUUUCUGGUCCGAUCAGGUUCAUGCAGCGGCCGUCGCGNNNNNNNNNNNNNNNNNNNNNNNNNNNNNNNNNNNNNNNNNNNNNNNNNNNNNNNNNNNNNNNNNNNNNNNNNNNNNNNNNNNNNNNNNNNNNNNNNNNNNNNNNNNNNNNNNNNNNNNNNNNNNNNNNNNNNNNNNNNNNNNNNNNNNNNNNNNNNNNNNNNNNNNNNNNNNNNNNNNNNNNNNNNNNNNNNNNNNNNNNNNNNNNNNNNNNNNNNNNNNNNNNNNAGACCCCCUAGCCCUAUUUAUAAGGGUAAUAAGCGUCAGGCGUGAAAAUCGAGGAGCCUAAAUUUUGGAUAUGAGGCGGAGCUGUCGCCUCAAUUGUCGGAGGAUCAUUAAUGAAGGUGGAUUAUACACAGUUUUAAAUAACAGGUGACGUCACGGCGGUUUACCAUGGGCCUAGAAGAUGAUGUCAUGGCGGUUUACAAGAUUAUGUGAAGAUGUUGAAGAAGAAAUUUUCUUAAGUAUUGAGGAUUGACAUGAACCAGUUCAAAUCAAUCUGUGGCCUAAUGUUGGGGAUAUUACCACUGGGCGUAAACCGGCUAGGAGAGGCCGGGUUAACCCUAUAAGUAGUUCAUCUGUAUCUGAAGUCAUGAAGACAGACGGUGACGCUUUAUGAAGGCCCAGGGCCCAAAGCCGGUUUAAGGCCUGUAGACAUAAACCAGCAUUAAUAUGUAAACUUGUGUUGUAAGAUAGAAGUAGCAAAGACCGAGCCGGACACGAUUAUGAGCCGGCCUCGGGAUUCUGUAAACCGACGGGCGUCAACCCAUGUAUAUAAGGGGACGACCCGGCGGUGGUUCAAGGACGACAGACAACAACUUGAGACUCAGGCAAAGCGUAUUCGCUCCCUGGUCAUCGAAACCCCAACAAUUCCAUCACAACUAGACGUAGGCUUUUACCUUCAUCUUAAGGGGCCGAACUAGUAUAAAACUCUCUUGCGUCCCUUGUCCGCUUUAACCCCUUUAAGUUAACCCGUAGAGAUGGCUCCACGACUAAGUCCUUUCUCUAGGACAUCCGCCGUGACAAAACCACGACAUAUAUAUAUAUAUAUAUAUGUGUGUGUGUGUGUGUGUGUGUGUGUGUGUGUGUCACGUCCUAUAUGUUAUGAGUGUUAUCUUAUUAUUAUUUUUUGUGGGUAGUUAUGAGUGUUAUAUAUAUUUUAUGUGUUGUUAUAUUUAUUUGUCCCAAGUUUUGGCACGCCUAACAAUUUUGUUUUUGCGAAUAAAUACUGGUGGGGGUGUGCCAGCCAUGAGAGUCCACAGCCGCGCGUGCGUCCCUCCUAGAUCGGCUAAUCUGUAAAAAAAAGAGAUGGUGUGGAACAAAGUUUGGAUUUAAUUUUGGCCACCCCCACUAGUAUACAUAAACACUAUUCUGAUCACGGGAUGAGAAUAAUAUUCUGAUCACAACCUCACCUGCCCGCUAGUAGUAUGUUGAACUUCCCUCUGAACUAGUUUGAACUUCCGCCAACAUUGCCCAAACGGGGCUUGCAAUAUACCGUUGGAAAGCUAUGGACACCAGUAUCAUGACCCAACUUAACUUUUUGUCAAAAUGUAAGCGGUUUAAUAGCAGUUUUGAAAACCGUUUUUUCUUCACACAAAAAUGUGAACCAUAUUUUUGAUCGCAUUUCUAAAUCAUUUAUCGGAAUGAAGCAAAUAAUAUGGCGUUGGAAAGCUGCUGCAAAACCGCUCCUUCCACAUGUUGAAAGUUUUCUUUAAUUCCCUAUGAUUAAAGAGUAAUUUGGAAAAACGUAAAAUUUCGCAAUCCGCACAACCGAGUUCGUAUUUUCGAUGUCAUUUCUAAACGGCUAAUCCAAUUGAGACAAAUGAUAUGGCGUUGGAAAGCUUAUGAAAAUGCGCUACUUUUUCAUGUUGAAAGAUUUUUCUAAUUUUAAAUGGUUUAAGAGUAAUUUAGAAAACGAUACAAGUCCUACCGAGUUCGUAUUUUCGAGCUCAUUUUUUAACCGUGCAUCCGAAUGCAACAAAUGAUACGGAGCUGGAAAGCUUGAACAAAUGCGAAACCUUUUGGUAUGUAUUAUUUCUCCCAAUUCUUUAUGGUUUUAAGUCAAUUUCGAAAAUGAAAAAAAGGUAUUUUCGCUGUAUUUUCUACAAACUUUAGCGGAUUGAGGCAAAUAAUAUACCGCUGAAAAGCUACGGAAAAUGCGAAACUUUUUCAUGUUGAUGGUUUUCUCUGAUUCCUAGCCGUUUUCAAAUAAUUGCGAAAAUGGCGAGAUCGUUCGUUCUACCUUUAUCGCGAAACAGACUUUUCGAAAAUGCACCGCGUGAAGAACCUGAACUUCUCGGCACGUGUACUUGAACUUCACUCUGUUUUUCCCGUGCUUUUUUUUGCUCCCAGCUCUCCAUCCACUCACCGGAAUUGAGCAAGUGAUAUACCGAUGGAAAGCUGCUGUAAACACGCAACUUUCCUGUGUUGAUCAUUUUUUCAUACUCGUGACGGUUUUAAAAGUUUUUCAUCCAAAAUUCGUUUAGUGUAGUAGUUGAACUUCUGUUGCAGUUUUGUUUUGAACUUCACUCAGUUUUUGACGUGCUGUUUUUUUCCUGUAACUCCCAAACCACUUACCGGAAUUGAGCAAAUGAUAUACCGAUGGAAAGCUAUUGAAAACACGCAACUUUUUCGUCUUAAUCAGUUUUUCAUACUCGCGGCGGAUCAAAAUAAUUUUUUGAAUGCGUAAAAAAUGUGUUUUUAACGGUAUACAUAAAACUUUUAAACCAUUCAUCCAAAUAUAGCAUAUAAUAUAUCGUUGGAGAGCUUAUGAACAUGAGCAUCUUAUUCAUGUAGACAGACGUUACAAAUUAUUGUCAUUUGAGAGAAGUUUUAAAAAUGGCAAGAAUAACGUUGUUUUUUGCCUGUUUUUAACAUGUAAUUGAAGGUCAGAUGUCUCACACUAGAGAUCUCGAACUGCACCGGGAGGAGCACGUGAACUUCUUGCAACAAACCUUUUAGGCUUGUUGUUUUUUAUUUGUUUUAUUCUCAUCUGAAACGCCUUCCGUUUAGUAGUUCAACUUCCCGCUGUUUUCACGUUGAACUUCUGUGACGUAUUUUCGUUUGUAAUUCUUCUCAUCCAUUCGUUAGUGUUACACAAAUGAUUUUCCUUUUGUACAAACCAUUCUCACAAUAAUUUUUUUAAUUUUCUCCGACCGAGGACUUGAACUUAUAACGACAAAAAUUUUGACCUUGCCUUUUUAUUUCAUUUUUGUCAUAUUAAACACACACCAUGUAGUACAUGAACCUUUUCCACUUUUAUAAUUUGAAUUUUUUAUUUUAUUUUUGAAAUCAAAUUGCUCCCAAACAAUAAUUGAACUUCUUUGUGGAUUGAGAGAAUUAUUUUCAAAUGCAAAAAACAAUUCUUUUUUGUGUUUCCGAACAUGGAAAUACAAGGUGAACCUCUCUCGCAAGAAUUUUUGGACUUCUCCGGACAGAGCACUUGAACUUCUUGCAACAAACCUUUUAAAAUUUUAGUUUUCUAUUCUUAUAUUCUUACCUGAAACGCAUUCCAUGUAGUAGUUGAAUUUCCCGCUGUUUUCACCUUGAACUUCUGUCACGUAUUUUUGUUCAACCUCUCUCAUACGAAUUUUUGAAUUUUCUCGGGCUGAGCACUUGAACUUGUAGCAACAAAACUUUCGGCCUUUGAUUUUUUCAUUCUUUUUUAAUACAAAUUGCACAGCGUGUAGUACGUGACCUUCUCGCAAUUAUCAAUUUGAACUUCUCUUGGUUACGGGAAAAUAUUUAAGUUUUUUAUAGACAUUAAACCGCUCUACUUUUUUUAUUGGUUUUAAUCUUUAGUAUUGGGGAAAUCUGAGUUUUUAUAAACAUUAAACAACUUCAUUUUUUUUAAUUUGGACUUUUUGGUGUUAUUCAUUACUAACGGGAAAAGUCAUAGUUAUGUAAUAAAUAUCGAACUGGUCAAGUAUUUAAAGUUGAACUUCUAGAUCUUAACAAAACAGGGGCAAAUAUAUGGUUUACAAACUUUUUAAACUACUCGAUUUUUUAUUCUUUAGUAACGAGGAAAAUCUGAGUUUUUUAUAAACAUUAAAUUGCUCCAUCUUUUAAUUUGGACUUCUUGUUUUAUUUUCCAUUAAUGGCAAAAAUCCAAGUUUUGUAAGAAAAGAAAAACACUGAACCAUUCCCUUAUUUUAAUUUGACCUUCUAGGUUUUUUUAGAAACGGGUAUCAUCCUUUUCUAUAACUUCAAAUUUAAAACAUGAAAAAUCCUUUUUUUAGAAACGAGGGAGAUCAGGGGACUUGAACGACCUGGGUUCACCAAUUUGAACUUCACGCAAAAUUGAAAAACAAUUAUUUACUCGGUUUCUUGCAAACGAGGGAUAUCUGGACGUACAUCAAGUCAAUUUUUUCUUAAGCCAAAUACAGAAACAAUGGAUCAAGAAAAAAACAUAUUUUUAGUUAUUCUCUCGGCUGUUUCCAUACAAACAAAGACAUGUUGUAACUCUCAUUUCUCACCACACUCUGAACUAAAAAAACGUAGAAAAACAAACUUUUGGGGGAUGGUUGGUGCUCCCUCAAGCUUGGGGAAAUAACUACAGGAGAACCAAAACUGAUUUUUUUAAUGUUGGCACUUUAGGUGAAUGAAACCACAUGCUCCUUUUUUUCAUCAAGUAGGAUAACACAGCGAACAUCGAUGGGCGUCUGUGCUCAUCUUUUUUUUAUAGUUUUUGGUGAAGUUCGAUUUUUGCCCUGCUGAUUUGCAGUAGCAUAGUAGUGCAAUCAUAUUGCGGGGCGCUGAUGACCGAAAGUAUGAAAUCAAAACUAUGAGGCCCAGAUCUCGUCAGAGCAUCCGGGAGCGCUACAUAUGUGAACCUCCAGCGGCGGCGUAGUUGAACGACCCAGAGGUGGCACUGAUGAACGUCAUGCUGCAGCGGUGGCGUCGAUGAAAUGAACUUUUUUUACUCUCACAUCACUAUUCAGAACACAUCUAGAAUCAAGGACGAAUAAGAGGAACACACCAAUAAAAUAUUCCAUGCUCAACGUCCAAGCGCAUGAGCAUUAUGCACUUUACAUGAUUAUGGUUUAGUACUAACUAGCACAGCCAGGAGCAACUUUAAUCCUUCAAGAAGAAAAGAGCAACUUUACGUAGUCAGCAACCUAGUUACCUGAACUUCUGAAGAACAAAAACAAGGACGAUGUAGAGUUAGAUUUUCAGAGUGGCAAGUUCCUCUAAAUUGCCAAACAAGAAUCACUUGUGAAGAUAGAUGGGUAGUCGCCUUAGUACAAACAUGCAGAAGCGGUGGCAUCUCAACAAGCAAGGCAACAGAGGGAGAGGAGCAACAGGAACGCCACACCAUUGUGAUCGAUGCUGCUGCGGCUGCACCAUUUGCAUUGCCUGAACUUCUCUACGUCUGUCUUGCGUGCACACUCGUAUGCAAACGUAUGAAGGUAUUGCAUUCUGCUUCUAGCUUGGCUUCUGUUAACACCGCAUGUGGCUGUCAUGUGCACGCGAGCACCACACACGCUCCGCCCGUGAAGCGGACAUAAGCACACAUGCGCCGUUGGACUACACAGGCUCACCGGCCGAACUUCACAGGCUGGAUGGAGCUCGUUGUUCCUUCCAGCGGAGUCGCGCCCAGCGCGGCGAGCAAGACCAUGCCUCAGGCCAGCUCCGUUGGUCACCAACGAGCAGGAUGAUACCACGGGCCAAAGACGAACUAUGUGUACGCGCUACCGAACUGCAGCCUGCCCGGCUCGUGCGUGCCACUGAGCAACCUCGUUCAUGGACCGAGGAGAAGCCACCGGAGCUACUGCCCCAUUCUUUAAGAUCCAAGGAGAACUGAGGAGGAGGAGUAUAGAGGACGUGGAGGGAUCUCAUAGUUAACCUCACCGACGGCGCGGCAGGGACGGG
RNAcentral lists this long non-coding RNA (31352 nucleotides) under Triticum aestivum (bread wheat). RNAcentral's name for it is "long non-coding RNA (TAES_LNC013553)". Lineage: Eukaryota; Viridiplantae; Streptophyta; Magnoliopsida; Poales; Poaceae. The record is from RNAcentral.